Molecule: ribosomal RNA, 477 nt
Filed under: uncultured bacterium
Lineage: Bacteria
Description: partial 16S ribosomal RNA
Rfam family: Bacterial small subunit ribosomal RNA
Source: RNAcentral
GAUGAACGCUGGCGGCGUGCUUAACACAUGCAAGUCGAACGAUGAGACCCAGCUUGCUGGCCGCUUACGUGAGGAGCGGGCGGGUGAGUAAUACGUAGCUAACCUACAUAUCAGGCUUAGACAUGGUCAGGAGGCCGGAGUUAAGAACGGAUAAUACAUCGAACCGCAGGGUUCUGUAAUGAUUGACGGUUUUGGUGUCAGCUUUAGAUGGAUCGGCGGCUCAUUAGGUAGUUGGUAAGCUAAGGGCUUACCAAGGAAGCGACUGGUAGCCGGCCCGGGAGGGUGGCCGGCCACCCUGCGCCUGCGAGACGGCCCAGACUCCUACGGGACGCAGCAGGCGGGAACAUUGCACAACGGGCGCAAGCCUGAUGCAGCGACGCCGCGUGCGGGAUACCGUCUUUCUGGUUGUAAACCUCUUUCAGUGGGGAAGAAGCGAUAGUGACGGUACCUGCAGAAAAAGCACCGGCUAACUACGUG